AACGAACGCUGGCGGCAUGCCUAACACAUGCAAGUCGAACGAUGCCUCCGGGCAUAGUGGCGCACGGGUGCGUAACGCGUGGGAAUCUGCCCUUGGGUUCGGAAUAACCCGCCGAAAGGCGAGCUAAUACCGGAUGAUGACGUAAGUCCAAAGAUUUAUCGCCCAAGGAUGAGCCCGCGUAGGAUUAGCUAGUUGGUGGGGUAAAGGCCCGCCAAGGCGACGAUCCUUAGCUGGUCUGAGAGGAUGAUCAGCCACACUGGGACUGAGACACGGCCCAGACUCCUACGGGAGGCAGCAGUGGGGAAUAUUGGACAAUGGGCGAAAGCCUGAUCCAGCAAUGCCGCGUGAGUGAUGAAGGCCUUAGGGUUGUAAAGCUCUUUUACCCGGGAUGAUAAUGACAGUACCGGGAGAAUAAGCGCCGGCUAACUCCGUG
Molecule: ribosomal RNA, 433 nt
Filed under: uncultured bacterium
Lineage: Bacteria
Description: partial 16S ribosomal RNA
Rfam family: Bacterial small subunit ribosomal RNA
Source: RNAcentral